GGAUGCGAGCGUUAUCCGGAUUUAUUGGGUUUAAAGGGUGCGUAGGCGGUCCGUUAAGUCAGCGGUAAAAUUGCGGGGCUCAACCCCGUACUGCCGUUGAAACUGCAUCCCUUGAGUGCGCGAGAAGUAUGCGGAAUGCGUGGUGUAGCGGUGAAAUGCAUAGAUAUCACGCAGAACUCCGAUUGCGAAGGCAGCAUACCGGCGCGCAACUGACGCUCAUGCACGAAAGCGUGGGUAUCGAAC
Molecule: ribosomal RNA, 243 nt
Filed under: uncultured bacterium
Lineage: Bacteria
Description: partial 16S ribosomal RNA
Rfam family: Bacterial small subunit ribosomal RNA
Source: RNAcentral